CAGGUGAUUAUCCUGAACCAUCCAGGCC
This 28-nucleotide non-coding RNA is filed under the name Cricetulus griseus (Chinese hamster). Lineage: Eukaryota; Metazoa; Chordata; Mammalia; Rodentia; Cricetidae. The record is from RNAcentral.